GAUGAACGCUGGCGGCGUGCCUAAUACAUGCAAGUCGAGCGAAAAGACGAGGAGCUUGCUCCUAUGACGUUAGAGGCGGACGGGAGAGUAACACGUGGAUAAACUAACUAUAAGACUGGGAUAACUUUGGGAAACAGGGGCUAAGACCGGAUAAUAUAUUGAACCGCAUGGUUCAAUAGUGAAAGACGGUUUUGCUGUCGCUUAUAGAUGGAUCAGCGCCGCAUUAGCUAGUUGGUAAGGUAACGGCUUAACAAGGCAACGAUGCGUAGCCGACCUGAGAGCGUCGUCGCCUACACUGUAUCUGAGACACGUCCCACACUCCGGCACUAGGCAGCAGCAGAGACUCCUACGCAAGGGAGCAGAGCCUGACGGAGCAACGCCGCGUGAGGCAUGAACGUCCUCUGCUCGUUAAACUCUGUUAUUAUUGAGGAACUAAUGUGUAAGUACCUAUGCACAUCUUGACGGUACCGAGUCAGAAAGCCACGGCUAACUACGUG
RNAcentral lists this ribosomal RNA (497 nucleotides) under uncultured bacterium. Its description in RNAcentral is "partial 16S ribosomal RNA". It matches the Rfam family "Bacterial small subunit ribosomal RNA", at positions 28 to 507 of the family's 1533-position model. The record is from RNAcentral.